UGUGUCGGCGCACGUGCC
RNAcentral lists this unclassified non-coding RNA (18 nucleotides) under Chlamydomonas reinhardtii. Its description in RNAcentral is "small RNA Cre_3626". Lineage: Eukaryota; Viridiplantae; Chlorophyta; Chlorophyceae; Chlamydomonadales; Chlamydomonadaceae. The record is from RNAcentral.